RNAcentral lists this ribosomal RNA (838 nucleotides) under Trichoderma sp. RNAcentral describes it as "partial large subunit ribosomal RNA". Lineage: Eukaryota; Fungi; Ascomycota; Sordariomycetes; Hypocreales; Hypocreaceae. The record is from RNAcentral.
CAGGGAUUGCCCCAGUAACGGCGAGUGAAGCGGCAACAGCUCAAAUUUGAAAUCUGGUCCCUAGGGCCCGAGUUGUAAUUUGUAGAGGAUGCUUUUGGUGAGGUGCCGCCCGAGUUCCCUGGAACGGGACGCCACAGAGGGUGAGAGCCCCGUCUGGCUGGCCGCCGAGCCUCUGUAAAGCUCCUUCGACGAGUCGAGUAGUUUGGGAAUGCUGCUCAAAAUGGGAGGUAUAUGUCUUCUAAAGCUAAAUAUUGGCCAGAGACCGAUAGCGCACAAGUAGAGUGAUCGAAAGAUGAAAAGCACCUUGAAAAGAGGGUUAAAUAGUACGUGAAAUUGUUGAAAGGGAAGCGCUUGUGACCAGACUUGGGCGCGGCGGAUCAUCCGGGGUUCUCUCCGGUGCACUUCGCCGCGUCUGGGCCAGCMUCAGUUCGUCGCGGGGGAAAAAGGCUUCGGGAACGUGGCUCCUCCGGGAGUGUUAUAGCCCGUUGCAUAAUACCCUGCGGUGGACUGAGGACCGCGCAUCUGCAAGGAUGCUGGCGUAAUGGUCACCAGCGACCCGUCUUGAAACACGGACCAAGGAGUCGUCUUCGUAUGCGAGUGUUCGGGUGUCAAACCCCUACGCGUAAAUGAAAGUGAACGCAGGUGAAAGCUUCGGCGCAUCAUCGACCGAUCCCUGAUGUUCUCGGAUGGAUUUGAGUAAGAGCAUACGGGGCCGGACCCGAAAGAAGGUGAACUAUGCCUGUAUAGGGUGAAGCCAGAGGAAACUCUGGUGGAGGCUCGCAGCGGUUCUGACGUGCAAAUCGAUCGUCAAAUAUGGGCAUGGGGGCGAAAGACUAAU